UAUAAUGUUUAGUUUGACAAGCUGAAGUCAACAAUUAUCAUUUCCUGAAAGUUUAACUCACUCACAUUUACUAAAGAACAAGAAAUAGACACACUAUUGUAGGAAGGGUGCUGGCAGGAACUGAGAUUUUUCUUCACAAUGACAGGAACUGAGAUCAGCAGAUCAUUUAACAAGAGCUAAAACUGACAGCUAAAAACCACUGAUGCGUGGACAGAGAACUGCACAACAACGUGUUUCUGGUAUAUGUGAGUUUCUACAAAGAGAAAUCAUGAACUUCAGACUCUCAUCACUGAUCCUGCUGUUACACAUUCAAGGUAUGAAAGGGGAGGACUGGUGAUGGUGAGGUGCGUUUACUCAAACAUCAACAUCAAAACUGGGUUCUGGUUCAGUCAGAAACAGAGAACAAACUGGAGAAACAAAGAUGAACCUGAAGAUUUGACUUUAGAUUCAGAUUACUCAGGACGAGUGAAGCAGUGGAUCAAUGAAGAUUACUCAGAGCUCAUAAUAUAUGACCCGAGAGAGAGAGACAGUGGAGAAUAUCAGCUCAUGAUCAUUAUGAAGGAUGGAGUUAAACAUCUCAGCUCAGUCACAGUCAAUCUAACAGUCUCAGUUUUACAGGUGAAGAUGAAUCCUGAAUCUACAGGACAGCGAGUAAAACUGAGCUGUGAUUCCUCCUGCACUUUAACAUCUGCAUUUUUUUUACCACUGGUCCAAGAAUGGAGAAGAUUUAACAUAUAACCAAAGCAUAUUUGUGUCAUCCAGUGGAAACACUGACAGUUAUUCCUGCAUUGAGUCUGUUUCAGUUCCCUCUUCAUCUGUGUGUCUUUCUAACAGUAGCUGUUGGGGUGUGACUUACAUCUCAUCAGAAGUUUGUGCUUUAGUGGGAUCAACAGUAGAUAUUCACUCUUCAUACUCACAUCCCACUGGAUAUACAGUAGAGAAAACAUCCUGGCGUUACGGUUAUCCUUGGGGACUCUACGGAGAUCUACGUGAGGAUCCUCGGUUUUCUGGUCGUGUGGAGUAUCUGGGAAACACACUGAGAAUCAAAGACGUCAACACGAGAGACAAUGGAAUAUAUCGAUUCAGGUUCAUCACUAACACAUCAAAAGAAGUUUCUAGUUAUACUGGAGUCUUUCUUAUUGUUACAGGUACACAGGUGAGAAGCAGCCCAAACCCUGUGAUAGAUGGAGAAAAAGUGAUAUUAAGCUGUUCAACUAAAUGCACACUGGAUAACAAACAUACUUACAUCUGGUAUAAGAAUGGACAACAGGUAACAGAUGGAUUGAGAUUAUUAAACAAGCUGUACCUGGACUCAAUCAACAGUGAGGAGCAACACGAGUAUUCCUGUACUGUAAGAGAUCCAAUGGACAAAACAAAUGCUUAAAUACAUAAAACUGUAGGAUACUGAUUAAAACAAGGCUUGGCUUUCUGAAGGUUUGCUACUGUAAAUGUUUUAAUAAAGCUUUUUGGUACCUGCCUUUCUGAGAUAUUUUUCCACAUAUUAUAUUUGUAUUAAGACAUUCAUAAUCGUCAGAUAAAUGUUAUCUUUUGAAUAUAUUUCUCUGUUUUCUGUUUUGACUGCAGUAUGUGGUAACACUUUCUAUGAAGUCUGUGUUUAUAAUGCAUUAUUGCAGGUAUAUUCCCUUAUAAUAAACAUUAUUAUACUGUAUGUUGUAUUGUCUAAUAAAUAAUCAUUACAACAGUUACAAUA
RNA transcript from Paramisgurnus dabryanus, 1711 nucleotides. RefSeq lists it as uncharacterized. The record is from RefSeq and is a predicted model, not a curated record. NCBI's taxonomy places the organism in Eukaryota, Metazoa, Chordata, Actinopteri, Cypriniformes, Cobitidae.